RNAcentral lists this ribosomal RNA (253 nucleotides) under uncultured bacterium. RNAcentral describes it as "partial 16S ribosomal RNA". It matches the Rfam family "Bacterial small subunit ribosomal RNA", at positions 524 to 776 of the family's 1533-position model. The record is from RNAcentral.
UACGUAGGUGGCAAGCGUUGUUCGGAAUUACUGGGCGUAAAGCGCGUGUAGGCGGCUCUUCAAGUCAGACGUGAAAGCCCCGGGCUUAACUCGGGAACUGCGUUUGAUACUGUCGAGCUAGAGUGUGGAAGGGGCGAUUGGAAUUCCUGGUGUAGCGGUGAAAUGCGCAGAUAUCAGGAGGAACACCCGUGGCGAAAGCGGCUCUCUGGGACGGUACUGACGCUGAGGAGCGAAAGCGUGGGGAGCGAACAGG